GCUGGGCAUGGUGGUGCAUGCCUGUAAUCCCAAGAGCUAGGGAGGCUGAGAUAAGAGGAUUGAAGUUUGAGGCCAGUAUCGGCAACUUAGCGGGGCUCUAAAUAACUCUGAAAGACCCUAUCUGUA
RNAcentral lists this small RNA (126 nucleotides) under Marmota monax (woodchuck). Lineage: Eukaryota; Metazoa; Chordata; Mammalia; Rodentia; Sciuridae. The record is from RNAcentral.